Molecule: ribosomal RNA, 445 nt
Filed under: uncultured bacterium
Lineage: Bacteria
Description: partial 16S ribosomal RNA
Rfam family: Bacterial small subunit ribosomal RNA
Source: RNAcentral
GUAGGGAAUAUUGGGCAAUGGAUGCAAGUCUGACCCAGCCAUCCCGCGUGCCGGAAGAAGGCCCUCAGGGUUGUAAACGGCUUUUGACGGUGAAGAAUCGACAGGAUGCGUCCUGUUUUGACGGUAGCCGUUGAAUAAGCACCGGCUAACUCCGUGCCAGCAGCCGCGGUAAUACGGAGGGUGCGAGCGUUGUCCGGAUUUAUUGGGUUUAAAGGGUGCGUAGGCUGGAAGGUCAGUCAGCGGUGAAAAGCUGUCGCUUAACGAUAGUCUUGCCGCAGAUACUUCCUUUCGUGGAUGAGGAGGAGGCCACUGGAACGGAUGGUGUAGCGGUGAAAUGCAUAGAUAUCAUCCAGAACACCGAUUGCGAAGGCAGGUGGCUGUACCUUAAUCGACGCUGAUGCACGAAAGCAUGGGGAGCAAACAGGAUUAGAUACCCGUGUAGUCC